This 260-nucleotide unclassified non-coding RNA is filed under the name air metagenome. RNAcentral's name for it is "partial contains small subunit ribosomal RNA, internal transcribed spacer 1, and 5.8S ribosomal RNA". The stretch from base 1 to 46 matches the Rfam family "Eukaryotic small subunit ribosomal RNA", at positions 1786 to 1831 of the family's 1831-position model. The record is from RNAcentral.
AAGUCGUAACAAGGUUUCCGUAGGUGAACCUGCGGAAGGAUCAUUAUCGAGUUUGAAGAAGGUUGUGCUGGCCUUUCGGGGCAUGUGCAUGCCUCACUCAUCCAACCCACACCUGUGCACCUCUUGUAGGUUGAUCUGUUGGGGGGCCACACUGGUCUCCUUCCGGCCUUCCUAUGUCUUUUAUAAAACCUGUCUGUAUAGAAUGUCUCUGCGCAAACAACGCAUUAAUAUAACUUUCAGCAACGGAUCUCUUGGCUCUC